GAGGGUACAGCUCAAGUGGUAGAGCCCAUGCUUAGCAUGCAUAAGGUCCUGGGUUCAAUCCCCAAUGCCUCCU
Molecule: transfer RNA, 73 nt
Filed under: Camelus bactrianus (Bactrian camel)
Lineage: Eukaryota; Metazoa; Chordata; Mammalia; Artiodactyla; Camelidae
Also listed under: 1 other name
Rfam family: tRNA
About the family: Transfer RNA (tRNA) molecules are approximately 80 nucleotides in length. Their secondary structure includes four short double-helical elements and three loops (D, anti-codon, and T loops).
Source: Rfam by way of RNAcentral